UACGUAGGGGGCAAGCGUUAUCCGGAAUUACUGGGUGUAAAGGGAGCGUAGACGGUUAGGUAAGUCUGGAGUGAAAGGCGGGGGCCCAACCCCCGGACUGCUCUGGAAACUAUCGGACUAGAGUGCAGGAGAGGUAAGCGGAAUUCCUAGUGUAGCGGUGAAAUGCGUAGAUAUUAGGAGGAACACCAGUGGCGAAGGCGGCCUGCUGGACUGUAACUGACGUUGAGGCUCGAAAGCGUGGGGAGCAAACAGG
This 253-nucleotide ribosomal RNA is filed under the name uncultured bacterium. Its description in RNAcentral is "partial 16S ribosomal RNA". It matches the Rfam family "Bacterial small subunit ribosomal RNA", at positions 524 to 776 of the family's 1533-position model. The record is from RNAcentral.